AUUGAACGCUGGCGGCAGGCCUAACACAUGCAAGUCGAGCGGAUGAAGGGAGCUUGCUCCUGGAUUCAGCGGCGGACGGGCGAGUAAUGCCUAGGAAUCUGCCUGGUAGUGGGGGCUAACGUCCGGAAACGGGCGCUAAUACCGCAUACGUCCUGAGGGAGAAAGUGGGGGAUCUUCGGACCUCACGCUAUCAGAUGAGCCUAGGUCGGAUUAGCUAGUUGGUGGGGUAAAGGCCUACCAAGGCGACGAUCCGUAACUGGUCUGAGAGGAUGAUCAGUCACACUGGAACUGAGACACGGUCCAGACUCCUACGGGAGGCAGCAGUGGGGAAUAUUGGACAAUGGGCGAAAGCCUGAUCCAGCCAUGCCGCGUGUGUGAAGAAGGUCUUCGGAUUGUAAAGCACUUUAAGUUGGGAGGAAGAGCAGUAAGUUAAUACCUUGCUGUUUUGACGGUACCAACAGAAUAAGCACCGGCUAACUUCGUG
Molecule: ribosomal RNA, 484 nt
Filed under: uncultured bacterium
Lineage: Bacteria
Description: partial 16S ribosomal RNA
Rfam family: Bacterial small subunit ribosomal RNA
Source: RNAcentral